CUUCACACUCCUUCAUCUUCUUCUGUGCUCCAUCAAAUUCAUAGUUGACAUAAACACAUGCCAAAAACUCCGUGAUGGGAUCUUUGUAAGAGCACUGAUCUUGCUGGAUAACCUUGAUAAAUUCUUUGAAUUGAGGUCUUCUCCUUUUGUUGACAAUAAAAGCAGUGGCUAAGUACCUUAGAAGAUGGGGAGCACUGGUUUGAAUGGCAUUUAGAUACCUGGAAAGAAGUGAAAUAACCUUGUAAGAAGAGACAACUACACAAAGUUGGAUAACAAAGAAAGGAAAUAAUGCAUUAACCAAUGAAAAAAACAGUAAAAAUAUCCAACUUCAAACACAAAUUUAUGUUUAGUUCCAACAACAAUCUCCCUUAUGAAACAAAAUUCCAACAUAAGCAAUAUGGCGAACAUAUCACAUACUUUAGCCUCGAAACUUUGAACAAAUACUUUGCUAAUUACAUGGCACGCUGUGUGUUAACUUUUCAUAUUAAAAAAAACAAUGCAAGUGACAGAAGAAAUCUACAAAGCUUCUAAACAUGUUCCAUUACAACGCAAUCAAAAUUGAAGCAUGUGAACAUCAGAAGUCAUGGCAUAAAAAUGCAGGAAAAUGCACAAAGAACAAAGAAGCACAAAUAUCAAGUGACAACUACACAAAUGAUGCAACUAACAACAUCAGUAACAAGACAUGGAAACCUUAAGGUUAGUUGUUAAAGUGACAUACUUGUCUUGAUUAAAUAGGUCGAUGAUUUGUGUUCUUCCAUUGUCAUGGUUGAAAAAGAUGAAGAGGCUCCAAUGCAUGAGCCAUAUUCUACUCUGAACUUGGUUCAAAGGUGAUGAGAAGCUCUGCAGCAAAAGACCAAUAAAUAAGUCAACGAAUAAUCGAAAAGCAAAUUGUCAAAAUAAAAACCGAAUAAUCAACAGGGAUAUAACCAAAACCUUGGAAUCGAUUAUUUCUUUCAAACGAUUAAGUUCUUCAAGAGCAAUAUCCCAGUUUUGCAUCAGUAUCUCGGCAGCAAGCUUCCCCCACAAUGCACUCAAACUCCUUUCGCUGUUACUACAUAAAGCCCGAUACUGAUACAGAUAGUCAGCAGCACCAGAGUAGUUGCCACACUCAAAUUGGAAUUUUGCAUACUGAUACAAUGCCUCUAUUUGAUCUGGACCAAUCUGUUAAAAAAUUAAUUUUAUCCACCAUUAAAUUUAAAAAAAAAACUUUAAUUAAUUCAAACCCAGUAAAAAUCAAAACUUUAACAACAAAGAGCAUGCUAGAAUUUUAGCAUAAGAAAGCAUAUGCAUCUACUUGGUUAUUCUUUAUAUUUUCCUUAAAAAUAUCAUAAUGUUAUGACUAAUACAAAUUCACACUUGAAUGGGUUAUUCACUAAAAAUCCUAAAGGGGUUAAAAAUAGCAUAAAAUAACCUUAAAUUCAUAAAUAAAGGCAGAAAAAACAGACCUGGUAGCGGUCAUUAAGCAUCUGGAGAUUAUACUGUUUAUCAGCACGCAAUUCCUGAACAGCGUUAGGGUUUUGCAAGAAAGAGACGAGAGGAGCGGCGGCAUCUUCCAAAGCUUUGAGACGAGCGACAACCUCGACUCUCCUCUCGACCAUGUCCUGAGGGACAUCAGCGGUGUGUAAAGGCUCUUAUGGAUAUCCAUAGCGUAAUCGACCAUGUUUGUCUUGUUCAAAAGCUCGAUCUUUGCUUUCAAGAUCUGUUCAUCUGGGUAUAGUUGUCGCUCUUGCAAGAACUCCAGCAAUGGAAACACUAAGUGCCUGUCUAGGUUCGGGCCGAUACGCGGGGUUAUAUCGUAAGUAGCCAUUGCCAGGGUUUACUCUGGUUUCUGGCUUCGUGCUUAUUGUUUGAUAUAAACAAAUUUUUAGUAUAUAUAUUCCUUCUCCACUCCCUCAAUUCAAAUGGAGUUAAGAGUUAAAAUAUAGUUUUAAAUUUAUUUUUUAUUUUCGAAUUAAAUAUAAUAAGUUGUUUUUACAAAAAAAAAAUACUAACCAUUUCUAAAAAAAUAUUUAUUAAUAUUAUUUAUAAUAAUUACUAGAUGAUACUAAUAUAUUUUAUACUAAUUUAAAUCUACUCCAAUAUAAAAUAUAUGUUUAAAAUUUCGUUUAAGUCACAUAUUGUUUGUAUUCCUCCCCCAUCCUUCUUCAGGAAUAGACAAUAUUAUUUGGACAUGCAUGGCUUCAAGUUUCUUUUUGAUCCAUAGCGUAUUUUAGCCUCUCAGAAAAUUUUUGGAAUUUUAAGGAUAUCCUCUAUAAGAAUAGCUGAAAAUACCAAUGGUCACAAAGAGUUAAUUUUUUUUCUUUGACUAGCCUUCAAGCAAAGACUUUUGUCUAAUCUAGAGCGAACUAGACGAGGAAUUGAUCAUAAUAGCUCAUAUCCUAUUUGUGGCCACGAAACAGAAGACAUGCUCCACGUGCUUCAAGAUCGUUCGGCAUCAAAGGAGGUUUGGUUACAGGUUAUAUCUUCUGGUAGAUAGUAGCGUUCUUCUCUGGGUUUCUUCAAGAAUGAUUGACUUCAAAUCUUGCCUGUCACGUCCAGUUGCCUAGUUGAGGGUUAAUUUAAUAUUGUUUAUUCAAUUUAAUUGUGUGGCGCAUUUGAAAGAAUAAGAAUCUGUUCAUCUUUCAAGACAUCACUUGGAUGACUCUCGGUACUAUCAAGGUCUCAUUUAGUUGGGCAUAACAACUUGAGUUAAGUCACAAAGGCCAUCAACAUUCUAAGGAAUCUAACGGUUCUUGAUCAGCCAUGGGGAAUACGUGAACACACUUAUUCACUGAUGGAACAGUAGCUAUUGGUAAUGGUAAUGCUUUCGUUGGAAGUGUUUUGCGAGACCAACAUGAGAACUGGACAUUGGGGUUUAAUCACUACAUUGGAAGAUACUUACUUUUCGAGGCUAAAUUAUGAGAAAUUUUAGAUGGUCUACUAGUAUCGUAGCAAAGGAUUUAAAAGGGCCACGAUGCAGUCUAAUAACCUUGAGAUGAUUAGGUCCUUACAAGAAAGUUAGUUAACAAAUUCUAGUAUUACAAUGCUUAAAAUGAUCAGAAGAAUUUUGCAAGCUAAAGGACAAUAGAGCAGUAGACACGCGCCUAGAGAACUUAAUCAUGCUGCUGAUUAUUUGGCUAAGAUGAAUUUACCGGGAAGACAAGCCUUCAAGUCUUUGAUGACACCCGGAACGAAGUUUUAAAGAUUAUAUAACAAGAGAAAGAUAAUGAUGUUUUUGUUAAUGUCAUGUUGAUGUAGUUCAGUUUUUAAUUUAAACACUAAAAAAAAUUUCAUUUAAAUUUAUUCAUAUUUAAGCCCGCCUGUAUUAUUAUUUUCAAAAUUUUAUAUUAUUUUUAAUAGGGGAGAGAUCCCUUACAUAUUAUUAUUUUUAAUAACACAUUUAAAUCCAAAGUUCUCAACACAACGCUGUACUUUUAAUAACUCGGUACAAGCAUUUAAAAAAUUUCUUGACAAAAGUUGAAAGAGCACCAUACAAUUUAGAUUUAGAUAAUGAUUUAUCAGUCUUGUUCCUACUCAAAAACUUAAAUCACUGUUAAAUUUGUCUGAAAGAAAUAAACAAUCAGCAAAUAGCUCAAAAUUGCAUAUAAAUUCAAAAGAUCUUCCUUGUCCGUCCAACUUAACGUGCAGGCUGUGCUUGUGCGUGCUCGAGAAGCUGGCCGACUAGCUUGUAGGUCCGCCCUUGAAGGGCCUUAGUGUGGUCGAUCAGCUGCUCGUAACUGGAGAAAUCCAGUAUCCAAAUUGGAAGUCAUUAAGAGAAGAGGAACAAACAAAUGAAGUUAUGGAAGGAACAUAGUAUGAAAGAUGCACAAUAUUUAGAACAAGGAAAUCUUACACAUUCGGUUGAUUAGGCUCCAUAAUAACGGUUCCAGUCUUUGAAUCAAUCUUUGCAUCAAGUUUAGAGUUUCGGAUGAGAUUCACAAUCCAUCUCUCACCCUCCUCGUAAUUUAAAUUCAGUUUCUCAAAAAGCACCCUUGAAACACAUAAAACAUCCAUUUAAUGUUGGAUCAAAAUCUAAGAAAAGCAACUAAAACAACAUAAUCUCAUAAGUAAAAGCAUAUCUUGAAAGAGUUACGAAGACCAACGGGAAGUAACCAAUAUAAUAAGAGAUAUUCGAGCCCAUGUUACUUGGAUUUGGGCGAGUUUCAGAUACGGGUAUGUUUAAUUGUUUUCUAAGUUUUUCCAUGUAUUGAAGGGUCAUAUAUUCAUAAUCGCAAGACAAAUACUUCAAGAAAAAUGAACAGUCGGGAAAUGCAUAGAUAAUAGCAAACCAAAGGUUUAUGUUGUGAUGGUUUGUGAUCUGUGCACAUGCCUGCUGUGCAGAUGAAAACAUGCAUUACAGAUAGAAAGGUUUUUAUCUGUUUUGAUUUAAUAUUUUGUACAAAAUUUCAUCAAUCCUUAACAUGCAAUUAGCCAUAAAAAAUUCAUAACUCAGUGCAAUGUUAUGGGAAACCCAGCAUGCAAAGCACACUUUGAGCCUAUUGGCAAUUUAACAUUCAAAUGGAUCGUGUCAUUUACUCAUAAGACGAAGUCAAUUAUCCACAUAAGAAGCUAAUUAUAUAAGUUUGACAAAGCAGGAACUUACCCCAUAUCAAUGCGCUGAUGAAUUCUGCAGUAUGUCUCGAAGAUAAAUAGACGAGCAUUCUCAAGAAAUUCAUCUUUUAAUGGGACAGUAGAAAAGUUGCCCUCUUCAACUCUUUUUCCAAGGAAGGGAUCAUUCAGUAUCACCUACAACAAAGACGGAAAAAUAAGGGUGUAAAAGAUAGAGCCUACAAUUCCAAUAUCAAACAAAAAGCUAAAGGCAACCAAAGAAGAUGACGAAACUUCAAGCUAAAACAUUGCACAAUUUUAUGGUACAAGAUACUACAAUCUAACUUACUUCUUCGCACUCCUUCAUCUUCUUCUGUGCUCCAUCAAAUUCAUAGUUGACAUAAACACAUGCCAAAAACUCCGUGAUGGGAUCUUUGUAAGAGCAUUGAUCUUGCUGGAUAACCUUGAUAAAUUCUUUGAAUUGAGGUCUUCUCCUUUUGUUGACAAUAAAAGCAGUGGCUAAGUACCUUAGAAGAUGGGGAGCACUGGUUUGAAUGGCG
Molecule: long non-coding RNA, 5087 nt
Filed under: Gossypium barbadense (sea-island cotton)
Lineage: Eukaryota; Viridiplantae; Streptophyta; Magnoliopsida; Malvales; Malvaceae
Description: long non-coding RNA (GBAR_LNC011011)
Source: RNAcentral